RNAcentral lists this ribosomal RNA (861 nucleotides) under uncultured archaeon. Its description in RNAcentral is "bacterial SSU rRNA". It matches the Rfam family "Archaeal small subunit ribosomal RNA", at positions 1 to 869 of the family's 1478-position model. The record is from RNAcentral.
UUCCGGUUGAUCCUGCCGGACCUGACUGCUAUCGGAUUGAUACUAAGCCAUGCGAGUCAUUGUAGCAAUACAAGGCAGACGGCUCAGUAACGCGUAGUCAACCUAACCUAUGGAUGGGAAUAACCUCGGGAAACUGAGAAUAAUGCCCAAUAGAACACUAUGCCUGGAAUGGUUUGUGUUCCAAAUGAUUUAUCGCCGUAGGAUGGGACUGCGGCCUAUCAGUUUGUUGGUGAGGUAAUGGCCCACCAAGACUAUUACAGGUACGGGCUUUGAGAGGAGUAGCCCGGAGAUGGGUACUGAGACACGGACCCAGGCCCUAUGGGGCGCAGCAGGCGAGAAAACUUUGCAAUGUGCGAAAGCACGACAAGGUUAAUCCGAGUGAUUUGUGCUAAGCGAAUCUUUUGUUAGUCCUAGAAACACUAACGAAUAAGGGGUGGGCAAGUUCUGGUGUCAGCCGCCGCGGUAAAACCAGCACCUCAAGUGGUCAGGAUGAUUAUUGGGCCUAAAGCAUCCGUAGCCGGCUCUGUAAGUUUUCGGUUAAAUCUGUAUGCUCAACAUACAGGCUGCCGGGAAUACUGCAGAGCUAGGGAGUGGGAGAGGUAGACGGUACUCGGUAGGAAGGGGUAAAAUCCUUUGAUCUAUUGAUGACCACCUGUGGCGAAGGCGGUCUACCAGAACACGUCCGACGGUGAGGGAUGAAAGCUGGGGGAGCAAACCGGAUUAGAUACCCGGGUAGUCCCAGCUGUAAACUAUGCAAACUCAGUGAUGCAUUGGCUUGUGGCCAAUGCAGUGCUGCAGGGAAGCCGUUAAGUUUGCCGCCUGGGAAGUACGUACGCAAGUAUGAAACUUAAAGGAAUUGGC